AGCUGAUUAACUGGACGUUACCCACAGAAGAAGCACCGGCUAACUCCGUGCCAGCAGCCGCGGUAAUACGGAGGGUGCGAGCGUUAAUCGGAAUUACUGGGCGUAAAGGGUGCGUAGGUGGUUGAUUAAGUUAUCUGUGAAAUUCCUGGGCUUAACCUGGGACGGUCAGAUAAUACUGGUUGACUCGAGUAUGGGAGAGGGUAGUGGAAUUUCCGGUGUAGCGGUGAAAUGCGUAGAGAUCGGAAGGAACACCAGUGGCGAAGGCGGCUACCGGCCUAAUACUACAC
This 287-nucleotide ribosomal RNA is filed under the name uncultured Legionella sp. RNAcentral describes it as "partial 16S ribosomal RNA". It matches the Rfam family "Bacterial small subunit ribosomal RNA", at positions 458 to 746 of the family's 1533-position model. The record is from RNAcentral. Lineage: Bacteria; Pseudomonadati; Pseudomonadota; Gammaproteobacteria; Legionellales; Legionellaceae.